Molecule: ribosomal RNA, 419 nt
Filed under: uncultured eukaryote
Lineage: Eukaryota
Description: SSU rRNA
Rfam family: Eukaryotic small subunit ribosomal RNA
Source: RNAcentral
CAAUAGCGUAUAUUAAAGUUGUUGCAGUUAAAAGCUCGUAGUUGGAUUUCGGAACCGGCCGAUUGGUCCGUCCUCUGGAUCGUGUACUGAUCGGUCUGUUCUUCUUCGCGAAGACCGCGUGUGCCCUUAACUGGGUGGGCGCGGGAUUCGCGACGUUUACUUUGAAAAAUUAGAGUGUUCAAAGCAGGCAUUCGCUUGAAUAUCUCAGCAUGGAAUAAUAGAAUAGGACUUUGGUCUUAUUUUGUUGGUUUCCGAGACCGAAGUAAUGAUUAAUAGGGACAGUUGGGGGCAUUCGUAUUUCAUUGUCAGAGGUGAAAUUCUUGGAUUUAUGAAAGACGAACUUCUGCGAAAGCAUUUGCCAAGGAUGUUUUCAUUGAUCAAGAACGAAAGUUAGGGGAUCGAAGACGAUUAGAUACCAU